CCAGCCCACACCACAAGCUAACCUGACUUGCUUACCUCUACGGAGACUCCCACGUCUCAGAAAGCAACACAUUGCUGCGAAUCCCAAGGUAGCCCGCCUCAAAAAGCACAGGCAACAAUGGAGGCGCCAAAAGGGAAUGCGUGCUGCACUGGCUUACACCCAUCUGCCAACCACAACUGAAGACACCUGGGAGGGCCUGACAUACUACACAGGUACUUCCUUGCUAUUGUCUCUGACUUCCAGUCUACCUAAUGGCGCCAUAGUGAGGGGCUGCACUUUUCCCAUGGCAGGCAUCGGCUGUAGGUCCCCUGAGCGUGCACUAUCUUUCAUGGAGGAAUGUGGCUGGGCAACUGUUUAGUUCACUCACUUUUUUUUGUAAUUUUCCAUGCAAAAGUUAUUUUCUCUUAUUUCAUCUCACUUUCAUAUAAUGUAUUGAACUCUUCCAUCUCUUACCCUUAGAGUCC
Pelobates cultripes (western spadefoot toad) is the source of this 464-nucleotide non-coding RNA. NCBI's taxonomy places the organism in Eukaryota, Metazoa, Chordata, Amphibia, Anura, Pelobatidae. The record is from the annotation of a GenBank genome assembly.